AGUGAACGCUGGCGGUAGGCCUAACACAUGCCAGUCGAACGGCAGCACAGUAAGAUCUUGCUCUUACGGGUGGCGAGUGGCGGACGGGUGAGGAAUACAUCGGAAUCUACUUUUUCGUGGGGGAUAACGUAGGGAAACUUACGCUACUACCGCAUACGACCUACGGGUGAAAGCAGGGGAUCUUCGGACCUUUCGCGAUUGAAUGAGCCGAUGUCGGAUUAGCUAGUUGGCGGGGUAAAGGCCCACCAAGGCGACGAUCCGUAGCUGGUCUGAGAGGAUGAUCAGCCACACUGGAACUGAGACACGGUCCAGACUCCUACGGGAGGCAGCAGUGGGGAAUAUUGGACAAUGGGCGAAAGCCUGAUCCAGCAAUACCGCGUGGGUGAAGAAGGCCUUCGGGUUGUAAAGCCCUUUUGUUGGGAAAGAAAAGCAGCAGGUUAAUACCCCGCUGUUCUGACGGUACCCAAAGAAUAAGCACCGGCUAACUUCGUG
RNAcentral lists this ribosomal RNA (492 nucleotides) under uncultured bacterium. RNAcentral's name for it is "partial 16S ribosomal RNA". It matches the Rfam family "Bacterial small subunit ribosomal RNA", at positions 29 to 507 of the family's 1533-position model. The record is from RNAcentral.